GAAGGGUAAACUCGCACCUGUUCUACCCAGAAGAGUGGCUCAAGUUCACAUUCAGAAUUUAUUUGUUGAAAGAGUAUCUCCACUUUAUCACAAUCGAGCACUUCCAAUUCUUUCAGAAGUGGCCAGCUUGAACUAAACCUUCUAGAGCAAAAUCUUUUCAGUUGGUGUAAACCGGAGAGUGUGAGAGAGGUAAGGUUAGGGAAUAAGAGUAAAGGUGCUGCUUCAUCUUCAUUUUCAUUGGCAACAAUUGCCUCCACUCCACUCUCCGAUAUAUAUAGGUCCUCAAGAUGCACAAGAGCACUCGCCACAGAAACCGGAAAAAGGUUUAGCAGUUUGUUGCAUCCCCUUACUUGCAAUUUCCUUAAUUUGGAAAAUGAAUUUGCUGGAAGUUGGUCAGGCCACAAUGCUCUUAUAUUAUCUAGUCCGCGUACAGACAAGGACUCCAACCCUGGGAGUGCAACCUCUGCAAUUGAUGAUCCCUUUAGUUAAUAAUAUAUACAUAUACAUUCCUAAUAAUUAGACACAUGUAAAUAGAAAAUAAGAGGUUAAAGGAGAAUAUAUCAGUAUAACAAAGCACAAAAUUUAAACUAGAUUCAAGAAGAUCAAGAAAGAGAAAAGAAAAGAAAAAGCCUCCAGAUUUUGAAGAUACAAUGAAACUUAAAAAAAAAAAAAAAAACCUUCAAAUUUUCCUUUCGAAAUGAGCUAAUAAGAGGAUUUUUUUUUUCUUUUUUCUUUGCAUCUCUUUCAAAUUUGAUUAACUUCUAUGGAAAACGUAUUUUAACUAGUUAUGGAAAACGGAUAUUUUUUUUUUAACUUUUAUAUAAGAUACAAGUAAUACUUUAAAAAAAUUGUGAUAUCUAAAUAAUUUUUUGAAAAAUUAUUUUGAAAGAAAUAAGGUAAAUCUAUACUUUUUGUAUAAGAUGUUCAACCUUUAUAUACAAAUUUCUAAUUUUUUUUUUUAAAGUGUAUCCAAAUGGACACUAAACUAUCUAGUUUUUAAUUGUUACAACUUUGAAUUGGAUUUUAUGGUAAACUAAUUUACAAGUUAAUGCAUGGAUUCAUCUUAGAUUCCAUCUAUAAAUUUUUUUAAUUAUCUAAUAUAAGACAUUAUAUUAAUGGGUUGAAUUAAUAAUGUAAUUAUAAUUUAUUUGGCAACUUUCUUCCUUCAAAUAUAUAAAAUGAAAAUAAAUUUUAAAAAAUAAAAAAAAUGAAAAAAAUAAAAAAUAAAAAAAGAUUUUUUUUAUAGUUUUUCUAAGGUGAUUUUGUAGAGUAUUGUUAGUUUAUAGUUUUAACUUUAUUUCAUUUUACUUUUAACUUUAUUUAUUGAGGUAUGUUCUUUUUUGCAACUCUUGUUUAGAUUUUAUAGAGAAUAUAAAUUUUAAGAAAAAAAAUGAAAUUUAAAUAAAAUAAGAAUAAAGAAAGGCAAAAGGUGGAUGAAUUUUCUUAAGGCAAAAGUUUGAUAACUUGGCACUAUCAUGUAAUGGGUGAAAUUUUUAAAUACUCAACAAAGGCUAGUGAAAUUUAAAUUAAAAGCUUGACAUGUACCUUUUCGACCAAAAUCUUUGGAGUUGGUGUAAAGUUUUGAGUAUGAGAGAGGUUAGUAUAGGGAAUAUUAUUGCACAUUAGUUCAAAUAAAACAUCAACAUUUUUUUUUGUUAAAUUCUAAAUGAACACCACUAUAAAUUAAUGCGAUUUUGUAUGCUCAAUUAAAUAAACUCGUUCUUAAGGCAUCACAUGAAGUGUUUAAGUCUAAUUAAUAUUAAUUAAAAAUGAUUAUAUUAAAAAAAAUCCAAAGUAAUUUAUUUUUAUCAUAAGUCAAGUAGGAUAGUUUUAUAAAUAAUUGGUUCUAGUUUCUAGUAUUAUUGUACACAAUCGCUAUGUUUGUUGCACCUCCAAAAAAUCUACUACUUGUAAUUAAUUGUAUAUUAUUCUCCAUAUUCACAUCAGUUUAUGUAGUAUGAUUAAUUUAGCAACAAAAUAUAAGUUUACUUGAAAUCGCUUUAAAUUCCUAUGAUAUUAAAGUUUAAGAUUAAAACAAUGUAACAUUAGCCAAAAAGAUUAAGAUCUAUAAUGUAACAUAUAAAAUUUAGAAAAUUCAAGGAAGGGUAAACUCGCACCUGUUCUACCCAGAAGAGUGGCUCAAGUUCACAUUCAGAAUUUAUUUGUUGAAAGAGUAUCUCCACUUUAUCACAAUCGAGCACUUCCAAUUCUUUCAGAAGUGGCCAGCUUGAACUAAACCUUCUAGAGCAAAAUCUUUUGAGUUGGUGUAAACCGGAGAGUGUGAGAGAGGUAAGGUUAGGGAAUGAGAGUAAAGGUGCUGCUUCAUCUUCAUUUUCAUUGGCAACAAUUGCCUCCACUCCACUCUCCGAUAUAUAAAGGUCCUCAAGUUGCACAAGAGCACUCGCCACAGAAACCGGAAAAAGGUUUAGCAAUUUGUUGCAUCCCCUUCCUUGCAAUUUCCUUAAUUUGGAAAAUGAAUUUGCUGGAAGUUGGUCAGGCCACAAUGCUCUUAUAUUAUCUAGUCCACGUACAGACAAGGACUCCAAGCCUGGGAGUGCAACCUGUGCAAUUGAUGAUCCCUUUAGUUAAUAAUAUAUACAUAUACAUUCCUAAUAAUUAGACACAUGUAAAUAGAAAAUAAGAGGUUAAAGGAGAAUAUAUCAGUAUAACAAAGCACAAAAUUUAAACUAGAUUCAAGAAGAUCAAGAAAGAGAAAAGAAAAGAAAAAGCCUCCAGAUUUUGAAGAUACAAUGAAACUUAAAAAAAAAAAAAAAAAAACUUCCAAAUUUUCCUUUCGAAAUGAGGUAAUAAGAGGAUUUUUUUUUUCUUUUUUCUUUGCCUCUCUUUCAAAUUUGAUUAACUUCUAUGGAAAACGUAUUUUAACUAGUUAUGGAAAACCGAUUUUUUUUUUUUUAACUUUUAUAUAAGAUACAAGUAAUACUUUAAAAAAAUUGUGAUAUCUAAAUAAUUUUUUGAAAAAUUAUUUUUAAAGAAAUAAGGUAAAUCUAUACUUUUUGUACAAGAUGUUCUACCUUUAUAUACAAAUUUCUGAUUUUUUUUUUAAAAGUGUAUCCAAAUGGACACUAAACUAUCUAGUUUUUAAUUGUUACAACUUUGAAUUGGAUUUUAUGGUAAACUAAUUUACAAGUUAAUGCAUGGAUUCAUCUUAGAUUCCAUCUAUAAAUUUUUUUAAUUAUCUAAUAUAAGACAUUAUAUUAAUGAGUUGAAUUAAUAAUGUAAUUAUAAUUUAUUUGGCAACUUUCUUCCUUCAAAUAUAUAAAAUGAAAAUAAAGUUUAAAAAAUAAAAAAAAUGAAAAAAAUAAAAAAUAAAAAAUGAUUUUUUUUAUAGUUUUUCUAAGAUGAUUUUGUAGAGUACUGUUAGUUUAUAGUUUUAACUUUAUUUCAUUUUACUUUUAACUUUAUUUAUUGAGGUAUGUUCUUUUUUGAAACUCUUGUUUAGAUUUUAUAGAGAAUAUAAAUUUUAAGAAAAAAAAUGAAAUUUAAAUAAAAUAAGAAUAAAGAAAGGCAAAAGGUGGAUGAAUUUUUUUAAGGCAAAAGUUUGAUAACUUGGCACUAUCAUGUAAUGGGUGAAAUUUUUAAAUACUCAACAAAGGCUAGUGAAAUUUAAAUUAAAAGCUUGACAUGUACCUUUUCGACCAAAAUCUUUGGAGUUGGUGUAAAGUUUUGAGUAUGAGAGAGGUUAGUCUAGGGAAUAUUAUUGCACAUUAGUUCAAAUAAAACAUCAACAUUUUUUUUUUGUUAAAUUCUAAAUGAACACCGCUAUAAAUUAAUGCGAUUUUGUAUGCUCAAUUAAAUAAACUUGUUCUUAAGGCAUCACAUGAAGUGUUUAAGUCUAAUUAAUAUUAAUUAAAAAUGAUUAUAUUAAAAAAAAUCCAAAGUAAUUUAUUUUUAUCAUAAGUCAAGUAGGAUAGUUUUAUAAAUAAUUGGUUCUAGUUUCUAGUACUAUUGUACACAAUCGCUAUGUUUGUUGCACCUCCAAAAAAUCUACUACUUGUAAUUAAUUGUAUAUUAUUCUCCAUAUUCACAUCAGUUUAUGUAGUAUGAUUAAUUUAGCAACAAAAUAUAAGUUUACUUGAAAUCGCUUUAAAUUCCUAUGAUAUUAAAGUUUAAGAUUAAAACAAUGUAACAUUAGCCAAAAAGAUUAAGAUCUAUAAUGUAACAUAUAAUAUUUAGAAAAUUCAAGGAAGGGUAAACUCGCACCUGUUCUACCCAGAAGAGUGGCUCAAGUUCACAUUCAUAAUUUAUUUGUUGAAAGAGUAUCUCCACUUUAUCACAAUCGAGCACUUCCAAUUCUUUCAGAAGUGGCCAGCUUGAACUAAACCUUCUAGAGAAAAAUCUUUUGAGUUGGUGUAAACCGGAGAGUGUAAGAGAGGUAAGGUUAGGGAAUAAGAGUAAAAGUGCUGCUUCAUCUUCAUUUUCAUUGGCAACAAUUGCCUCCACUCCACUUUCCGAUAUAUAUAGGUCCUCAAGUUGCACAAGAGCACUCGCCACAGAAACCGGAAAAAGGUUUAGCAAUUUGUUGCAUCCCCUUACUUGCAAUUUCCUUAAUUUGGAAAAUGAAUUUGCUGGAAGUUGGUCAGACCACAAUGCUCUUAUAUUAUCUAGUCCGCGUACAGACAAGGACUCCAAACCUGGGAGUGCAACCUGUGCAAUUGAUGAUCCCUUUAGUUAAUAAUAUAUACAUAUACAUUCCUAAUAAUUAGACACAUGUAAAUAGAAAAUAAGAGGUUAAAGGAGAAUAUAUCAGUAUAACAAAGCACAAAAUUUAAACUAGAUUCAAGAAGAUCAAGAAAGAGAAAAGAAAAGAAAAAGCCUCCAGAUUUUGAAGAUACAAUGAAACUUAACAAAAAAAAAAAAAAACCACCAAAUUUUCCUUUCGAAAUGAGGUAAUAAGAGGAUUUUUUUUUUUUCUUUUUUCUUUGCCUCUCUUUCAAAUUUGAUUAACUUCUAUGGAAAACGUAUUUUAACUAGUUAUGGAAAACAUAUUUUUUUUUUAAAAAACUUUUCUAUAAGAUACAAGUAAUACUUUAAAAAAAUUGUGAUAUCUAAAAAAUUUUUUGAAAAAUUAUUUUUAAAGAAAUAAGGUAAAUCUAUACUUUUUGUAUAAGAUGUUCUACCUUUAUAUACAAAUUUCUGAUUUUUUUUUUAAAAGUGUAUCCAAAUGGACACUAAACUAUCUAGUUUUUAAUUGUUACAACUUUGAAUUGGAUUUUAUGGUAAACUAAUUUACAAGUUAAUGCAUGGAUUCAUCUUAGAUUCCAUCUAUAAAUUUUUUUAAUUAUCUAAUAUAAGACAUUAUAUUAAUGGGUUGAAUUAAUAAUGUAAUUAUAAUUUAUUUGGCAAGUUUCUUCCUUCAAAUAUAUAAAAUGAAAAUAAAUUUUAAAAAAUAAAAAAAAUGAAAAAAAUAAAAAAUAAAAAAAGAUUUUUUUUAUAGUUUUUCUAAGAUGAUUUUGUAGAGUACUGUUAGUUUAUAGUUUUAACUUUAUUUCAUUUUACUUUUAACUUUAUUUAUUGAGGUAUGUUCUUUUUUGAAACUCUUGUUUAGAUUUUAUAGAGGAUAUAAAUUUUCAGAAAAAAAAAAUUAAAUUUAAAUAAAAUAGGAAUAAAGAAAGGCAAAAGGUGGAUGAAUUUUUUUAAGGCAAAAGUUUGAUAACUUGGCACUAUCAUGUAAUGGGUGAAAUUUUUAAAUACUCAACAAAGGCUAGUGAAAUUUAAAUUAAAAGCUUGACAUGUACCUUUUCGACCAAAAUCUUUGGAGUUGGUGUAAAGUUUUGAGUAUGAGAGAGGUUAGUCUAGGGAAUAUUAUUGCACAUUAGUUCAAAUAAAACAUCAACAUUUUUUUUUUUGUUAAAUUCUAAAUGAACACCACUAUAAAUUAAUGCGAUUUGUAUGCUCAAUUAAAUAAACUCGUUCUUAAGGCAUCACAUGAAGUGUUUAAGUCUAAUUAAUAUUAAUUAAAAAUGAUUAUUUUAAAAAAAUCCAAAGUAAUUUAUUUUUAUCAUAAGUCAAGUAGGAUAGUUUUAUAAAUAAUUGGUUCUAGUUUCUAGUAUUAUUGUACACAAUCGCUAUGUUUGUUGCACCUCCAAAAAAUCUACUACUUGUAAUUAAUUGUAUAUUAUUCUCCAUAUUCACAUCAGUUUAUGUAGUAUGAUUAAUUUAGCAACAAAAUAUAAGUUUACUUGAAAUCGCUUUAAAUUCCUAUGAUAUUAAAGUUUAAGAUUAAAACAAUGUAACAUUAGCCAAAAAGACUAAGAUCUAUAAUGUAACAUAUAAAAUUUAGAAAAUUCAAGGAAGGGUAAACUCGCACCUGUUCUACCCAGAAGAGUGGCUCAAGUUCACAUUCAGAAUUUAUUUGUUGAAAGAGUAUCUCCACUUUAUCACAAUCGAGCACUUCCAAUUCUUUCAGAAGUGGCCAGCUUGAACUAAACCUUCUAGAGCAAAAUCUUUUGAGUUGGUGUAAACCGGAGAGUGUGAGAGAGGUAAGGUUAGGGAAUGAGAGUAAAGGUGCUGCUUCAUCUUCAUUUUCAUUGGCAACAAUUGCCUCCACUCCACUCUCCGAUAUAUAAAGGUCCUCAAGUUGCACAAGAGCACUCGCCACAGAAACCGGAAAAAGGUUUAGCAAUUUGUUGCAUCCCCUUACUUGCAAUUUCCUUAAUUUGGAAAAUGAAUUUGCUGGAAGUUGGUCAGGCCACAAUGCUCUUAUAUUAUCUAGUCCGCGUACAGACAAGGACUCCAAACCUGGGAGUGCAACCUGUGCAAUUGAUGAUCCCUUUAGUUAAUAAUAUAUACAUAUACAUUCCUAAUAAUUAGACACAUGUAAAUAGAAAAUAAGAGGUUAAAGGAGAAUAUAUCAGUAUAACAAAGCACAA
This 6890-nucleotide long non-coding RNA is filed under the name Vitis vinifera (wine grape). RNAcentral describes it as "long non-coding RNA (VVIN_LNC003280)". The record is from RNAcentral. Lineage: Eukaryota; Viridiplantae; Streptophyta; Magnoliopsida; Vitales; Vitaceae.